This 1139-nucleotide long non-coding RNA is filed under the name Homo sapiens (human). RNAcentral describes it as "non-protein coding lnc-GCA-5:5". Lineage: Eukaryota; Metazoa; Chordata; Mammalia; Primates; Hominidae. The record is from RNAcentral.
CUUUCCAGAGAGGGACCUUGUAAGGCUGACUUUGGAAUAUGACUGCAUUCUGCUGAUUGUAAAGGAGGAAAAGGAUUCUCACAUGACAAUGAAGAGACUGAAGAAGUAUCAUCAAUGGAUAAAGCAGAAUAGAAAUAGCAGCCGCCUGGACCAUACCUAGAAAGGAAUCAUUUUGCCUGGCAGAAGCAUGAAACAGUUCCAUAUUUGAGAUGGCAUUUACCACUGAGGGAAAAAAAAAGUAUCAUGUGAAAGAAGCAAGAAUUGGACUGACCACACACUUGUCAUUGCCAAUCAGAUGCUGCAAAACAAUGGAUCUGUUUUUCAGAGUUCUGAAAUAAAAUGCUAAUCAAACUAGAAUCUGCUUAGCUAAGACACUGCCAAAUAUGAAGACCAAAUAAAAGAUUUUCAGAUGUGUCAUAAUUCAGAGUUUAUACUCCAAGCAUUCUUUUGUAGAAAGGAACUCAAGGGUGUAUUUCAGCAAAAUAAAGAAGUAAAGUACUAGAGCCAUCACUCAGAGAGCAAAUGACCAGACCAGAUGCUAACAACAAACAUUGUGUGACUUCCUAUCUCCAGCCACUUCUGAAGUCAGAUCUAUUUUCUUGAGUAAGUAAUUUUUUUCCAAGUUUGGGUUGUUUUUCAUACCAUUUGGAACCAAGAGUUCUGGUAGUCACAAUAAUGUUUGGAGAUACUAGAUGGACUGUAAAAGCAGAAUCUCUAUGUACGUUCUCCGCUGAACAGCACGGGAAUUGGUGCCACAGAGAAAGAAAUGUGAUCCUACCAAACCAGUUAGCUCAAGAGCAAUGCUUAGGUAGCCAUAGCAAUUUAAACUGUUUAUUGAUUUAAAAUUUUUAGAAGUCACUGAGACCUUUAUAGUCAGAGAAAUUGUCAACCUUGACAAGUAUAAAGGUAAAUGUACAUGUAACCAAAGUCGGGAAGUGAAAGAGAGUGAAGAAAGGUAGGUAAGGUAGACAGAGGGCAGGAAAGCCCAUGUCCUCAUCUCCCAAAGCAGGUAGUGAAGAGAUCUGCCCUGUGAAGACCAGAAUAAGAAUUGGAGGUACACUUAACAGUCCCUGCCAUGUCAUCAACAAAUGGUGUUGAGAACACAUUGUAGGAAGGGAAAUGCUUACAUUCAUAGAAAU